RNAcentral lists this ribosomal RNA (497 nucleotides) under uncultured bacterium. RNAcentral's name for it is "partial 16S ribosomal RNA". It matches the Rfam family "Bacterial small subunit ribosomal RNA", at positions 28 to 507 of the family's 1533-position model. The record is from RNAcentral.
GAUGAACGCUGGCGGCGUGCCUAAUACAUGCAAGUCGAGCGAACAGACGAGGAGUUUGCUCCUCUGACGUUAGCGGCGGACGGGUGAGUAACACGUGGAUAACCUACCUAUAAGACUGGGAUAACUUCGGGAAACCGGAGCUACUACCGGAUAAUAUAUUGAACCUCAUGGUUCAAUAGUGUAAUACGGUUUUGCUGUCACUUAUAGAUGGAUCCGCGCCGCAUUAGCUAGUUGGUAAGGUAACGGCUUAGCAAGGCAGCGAUGCGUAGCCGACCUGAGAGCGAGGACGAGCAGCCUGGAAGUGAGGCACAGUAGAGACACUGACAGGAGGCAGCGGUAGGGAAUCUUCCGCGAGGCGGGAAAGCCUGACGUAGCGACGCCGGGUGAAUGAUGAAGGUCUUCGGAUCGUAGAACGCUGUUAGUAUUGGAAAAGUAAUAUGUUAGUACCGAUGCAGGUCUUGACGGUACCUAGUGAGGAAGCCCCGGCUAACUACGUG